UAUUCUCAUCAGUUUUUUACUUUGGUUAUGAUGUGGAAUAUAGAUGUAGACCAAAUCAAGAAACAGGCUGGAAAACUCUCUGAUAUACUUGAUGAGCAACAGAAGCUUUUUCAACAAUUUCAAAGUAUUCAUAUGCAGAAAAUAGAAGAAUUUAAGGAGUUAUGUGAUCGACACUUGAAGAAUCUACAGGCUAUUAAGUGUUGUCGCCGAAAAGCUAUUAUUGAGGAAGCCAGAAAGCUAAUGGACUACUUGGAAAAGAGAGUUACUGAAGA
Mus musculus (house mouse) is the source of this 272-nucleotide long non-coding RNA. RefSeq annotates it as X-linked lymphocyte-regulated 4D, pseudogene. The record is from RefSeq and is a predicted model, not a curated record. The transcript has 3 exons. NCBI's taxonomy places the organism in Eukaryota, Metazoa, Chordata, Mammalia, Rodentia, Muridae.